RNAcentral lists this transfer RNA (78 nucleotides) under Gordonia phage GMA2. RNAcentral describes it as "tRNA-Glu". It matches the Rfam family "tRNA". Rfam says of the family: Transfer RNA (tRNA) molecules are approximately 80 nucleotides in length. Their secondary structure includes four short double-helical elements and three loops (D, anti-codon, and T loops). Lineage: Duplodnaviria; Heunggongvirae; Uroviricota; Caudoviricetes. The record is from RNAcentral.
GCCGGAGUUGCUCUGCUGGUAGGGGCAACUGGAUUUUCACUCCAGGUAAGACGCGGGUUCGAUUCCCGUCUCCGGUAC